GACGAACGCUGGCGGCGUGCUUAACACAUGCAAGUCGAACGGUGAAGCGCCUUCCUUUUUGGUGGGUGUGGAUGAGUGGCGAACGGGUGAGUAACACGUGAGUAACCUGCCCCCUUCUUCUGGAUAACCGCAUGAAAGUGUGGCUAAUACGGGAUAUUCUGGGUCUGUCGCAUGAUGGGUCUGGGAAAGAUAUUGCUUCGGUGGGGGAUGGGCUCGCGGCCUAUCAGCUUGUGGGUGGGGUGAUGGCCUACCAAGGCGGUGACGGGUAGCCGGCCUGAGAGGGUGGACGGUCACACUGGGACUGAGACACGGCCCAGACUCCUACGGGAGGCAGCAGUGGGGAAUAUUGCACAAUGGGCGCAAGCCUGAUGCCGCGACGCCGCGUGAGGGAUGGAGGCCUUCGGGUUGUGAACCUCUUUCGCCAGUGAAGCAGGCCUGCCUCGUUUGUGGGUGGGUUGACGGUAGCUGGAUAAGAAGCGCCGGCUAACUACGUG
This 494-nucleotide ribosomal RNA is filed under the name uncultured bacterium. RNAcentral's name for it is "partial 16S ribosomal RNA". It matches the Rfam family "Bacterial small subunit ribosomal RNA", at positions 28 to 507 of the family's 1533-position model. The record is from RNAcentral.